RNAcentral lists this ribosomal RNA (497 nucleotides) under uncultured bacterium. Its description in RNAcentral is "partial 16S ribosomal RNA". It matches the Rfam family "Bacterial small subunit ribosomal RNA", at positions 28 to 507 of the family's 1533-position model. The record is from RNAcentral.
GAUGAACGCUGGCGGCGUGCCUAAUACAUGCAAGUCGAGCGAACGGACGAGAAGCUUGCUUCUCUGAUGUUAGCGGCGGACGGGUAAGUAACACGUGGAUAACCUACCUAUAAGACUGGGAUAACUUCGGGAAACCGGAGCUAAUACCGGAUAAUAUUUUGAACCGCAUGGUUCAAAAGUGAAAGACGGUCUUGCUGUCACUUAUAGAUGGAUACGGGCUGCAUUAGCUAGUUGGUAAGGUAACGGGUUACCAAGGCAACGAUGCAUAGCCGACCUGAGAGGGUGAUCGGCCACACUGGAACUGAGACACGGUCCAGACUCCUACAGUAGGCAGCAGUAGGGAAUCCUACGCAAUGGACGAAAGCCUAACGUAGCAACGCCGCGUGAGUCAUGAAGGUCUUCUGAUCGUAAAACUCUGUUAUUAUUGAAGAACAAAUAUUUAUUUAACUGUGCACAUCUUGACGGUACCCAAACAGAAAGCCACGGCUAACUACGUG